CCCUUUUCCGAGUGAAUCUCAUCUAUUCAGUCAUUGAACGGGAAGCGACAUUACCACAACAAACAUGGCAGGCUGACGGAAGGAUGCUCAGAGGCGUGGCCUGAGAACGCCUGCCUCCUCGCCCCGCCUCCGGGGCUCUGGAAGUGGCGUCCUCAGUGCUUACGCUGUGCGCUAAGCGGCUCCGGAGCCGAGGCUGGCUGGAGAGGGAGGCAAGCGCGCGGAGCCCCGGGAUGGAGGAGCCAGCCCUGCAGAGGAAGUGCGUGUUGGGUGCCCGGAAGAGGAAGACGUCCAGGCCGGCCCAAGAGGUGUCCCAGAAGCUGCCCAAAGCCCCCACGUCCUCGCUGGGCCUGCAUGAGGACCCCAACGCCGAGCAGGAGAUGGAACCGGAUGGCCAGGACCGGCCCCGCAGCAGGGAGGCGCCGGACCUCUCGGUCACCAAGCAGGGGCCAUUGGGAGCAGUCAGCGCCAGGGCCGCCCAAGAGGCCCCCCACGGGGAAGACAUCGGCCUGUUAGACCGCUGGAUCCUGGCCCUCGCACAGAGGAGGGGCAUCCUGUGGCUGCCCCCCUCCGACUUCCAGUUCCCCAAGAGGCUGAUGAGCUCAGGCGCCAGCCAGAAGUAGGGGCGCUGCAGCGCCCAGCUCCUUCGGGACUACCCGUUUGCCCGGUACUCUCGGCACCUGGACGGAGUCUUCUGUGGGCCCAGCUUUGUGUUUAACAGCCACAAGGAGACCGUCUUGGCAUCCAGCCCUUUGAAGGACUGGUCCAAUGGCAAAAAGAUCCUUGAGAGGCACAGCAGGUCCCAGGAGCACGGCGGGGCCGCGGUCAAGACGGAGGCAAGAGUGCAAGGAUCAGUUGAUCGAGUGGGGCCAGCCCGCCCUGGGGCAGAUGGUCAUCCUACUCUGCGGCCCACAGGGCAUCUUGUUGGGCCUGAGGCCCACCCUUGCCAAGAC
Molecule: long non-coding RNA, 950 nt
Filed under: Phascolarctos cinereus (koala)
Lineage: Eukaryota; Metazoa; Chordata; Mammalia; Diprotodontia; Phascolarctidae
Description: lncRNA (ENSPCIG00000033016.1)
Source: RNAcentral